This 883-nucleotide ribosomal RNA is filed under the name Lasiodiplodia hyalina. RNAcentral describes it as "partial 28S ribosomal RNA". It matches the Rfam family "Eukaryotic large subunit ribosomal RNA", at positions 38 to 939 of the family's 3401-position model. Lineage: Eukaryota; Fungi; Ascomycota; Dothideomycetes; Botryosphaeriales; Botryosphaeriaceae. The record is from RNAcentral.
GCAUAUCAAUAAGCGGAGGAAAAGAAACCAACAGGGAUUGCCUUAGUAACGGCGAGUGAAGCGGCAACAGCUCAAAUUUGAAAGCUGGCCCUUUUAGGGUCCGCGUUGUAAUUUGUAGAGGAUGAUUCGGCGAGGGCUCCUGCCUAAGUCCCCUGGAACGGGGCGUCAUAGAGGGUGAGAAUCCCGUAUGCGGUAGGUUGCCUUAGCCAUGUGAAUCUCCUUCGACGAGUCGAGUUGUUUGGGAAUGCAGCUCUAAAUGGGAGGUAAAUUUCUUCUAAAGCUAAAUACUGGCCAGAGACCGAUAGCGCACAAGUAGAGUGAUCGAAAGAUGAAAAGCACUUUGGAAAGAGAGUUAAAAAGUACGUGAAAUUGUUGAAAGGGAAGCGCUUGCAACCAGACUUGUCCGCAGUUGCUCAGCCGGUCUCCUGACCGGCGUACUCUUCUGCGGCCAGGCCAGCAUCAGUUCGGGCGGUCGGAUAAAGGCCUCGGGAAUGUAGCUCCUCUCGGGGAGUGUUAUAGCCCGGGGUGGAAUGCGACCAGCCUGGACUGAGGAUCUCGCUUCGGCAAGGAUGCUGGCGUAAUGGUUGUAAGCGGCCCGUCUUGAAACACGGACCAAGGAGUCUAACAUCUAUGCGAGUGUUCGGGUGUCAAACCCGUACGCGUAAUGAAAGUGAACGGAGGUGGGAACCCGCAAGGGUGCACCAUCGGCCGAUCCUGAUGUCUUCGGAUGGAUUUGAGCAAGAGCAUAGCUGUUGGGACCCGAAAGAUGGUGAACUAUGCCUGAAUAGGGUGAAGCCAGAGGAAACUCUGGUGGAGGCUCGCAGCGGUUCUGACGUGCAAAUCGAUCGUCAAAUUUGGGUAUAGGGGCGAAAGACUAAUCGAA